GAUGAACGCUGGCGGCGUGCCUAAUACAUGCAAGUCGAGCGAACAGACGAGGAGCUUGCUCCUCUGACGUUAACGGCGUACGGGUGAGUAACAUAUCGAUACCCUACCUAUAAGACUGGGAUAACUUCGUGAAACCGGUACUAAUACCGGAUCAUAUCUUCAACCGCAUGGUUGAAUAGUGAAAGCCGGUUUUGCUGUCCCUUCUAGAUGUAUCCGGGCGGCAUUGGCUGGUUGGUAGGGUAACGGCUUCCGAAGGCGGCGAUGCGUAGCCGACCUGUCAGCGGGAAGGGCGACACUGGAACUGAGACACGGUCCAGAGUCCUAGGGGAGGCAGAAGUAGGGAAUCGUGCGCGAUGGGCGGAAGCUUGACGGAGCAGCGCAGCGUGGAUGAUGAAGGGCUUCGGAUCGGAAGACUCUGUUAUUGGGGAAGACCGAAUGUGGAAGUAGCUAUGCACGUCGUGACGGUACCUGCACAAAAAGCAACGGCUAACUACGUG
RNAcentral lists this ribosomal RNA (497 nucleotides) under uncultured bacterium. RNAcentral describes it as "partial 16S ribosomal RNA". It matches the Rfam family "Bacterial small subunit ribosomal RNA", at positions 28 to 507 of the family's 1533-position model. The record is from RNAcentral.